AUACUUACCUGGACGGGGUUAAUGGGCGAUCAAGAAGGCUCAUGGCCUAGAUUAGUGGCCUCCAUUGCACUUAGGAGGAACGCUCGUCUACCAUCUCCCCAAGUGGGAGAGUGGACGUCAUAAUUUGUGGCAGAGGGGGUACGCGUUCGCGCGGCCCCUAC
This 161-nucleotide small nuclear RNA is filed under the name Oryza nivara. RNAcentral's name for it is "snRNA U1". It matches the Rfam family "U1 spliceosomal RNA". Rfam says of the family: U1 is a small nuclear RNA (snRNA) component of the spliceosome (involved in pre-mRNA splicing). Lineage: Eukaryota; Viridiplantae; Streptophyta; Magnoliopsida; Poales; Poaceae. RNAcentral also lists the same sequence under 2 other names. The record is from RNAcentral.